UACGAAGGUGGCAAGCGUUGUUCGGAUUUACUGGGCGUAAAGGGCGCGUAGGCGGUUGGAUAAGCCCUCCGUGAAAUCUCCAGGCUUAACCUGGAAAGUGCAGAGGGGACUGUUCAGCUAGAGGAUGGGAGAGGAGCGCGGAAUUCCCGGUGUAGCGGUGAAAUGCGUAGAGAUCGGGAGGAAGGCCGGUGGCGAAGGCGGCGCUCUGGAACAUUUCUGACGCUGAGGCUCGAAAGCGUGGGGAGCAAACAGG
This 253-nucleotide ribosomal RNA is filed under the name uncultured bacterium. RNAcentral describes it as "partial 16S ribosomal RNA". It matches the Rfam family "Bacterial small subunit ribosomal RNA", at positions 524 to 776 of the family's 1533-position model. The record is from RNAcentral.